UCCCCCGUGGCGCAAUUGGCUAGCGCGUCAGACUGUUAUCCAGCAGAUGAUCUGGAGGCUGGUGGUUCAAGCCCACCCGGGGGAG
RNAcentral lists this transfer RNA (85 nucleotides) under Lasiosphaeris hirsuta. It matches the Rfam family "tRNA". From Rfam's summary of the family: Transfer RNA (tRNA) molecules are approximately 80 nucleotides in length. Lineage: Eukaryota; Fungi; Ascomycota; Sordariomycetes; Sordariales; Lasiosphaeriaceae. The record is from Rfam by way of RNAcentral.